GCCCUAACACAUGCAAGUCGAACGAGACCCGUUCGGGUCUAGUGGCGCACGGGUGCGUAACGCGUGGGAACCUGCCUUUAGGGUUCGGAAUAACUCAGAGAAAUUUGAGCUAAUACCGGAUAAUGUCUUCGGACCAAAGAUUUAUCGCCUUUAGAUGGGCCCGCGUUGGAUUAGCUAGUUGGUGGGGUAAAGGCCUACCAAGGCGACGAUCCAUAGCUGGUCUGAGAGGAUGAUCAGCCACACUGGGACUGAGACACGGCCCAGACUCCUACGGGAGGCAGCAGUGGGGAAUAUUGGACAAUGGGCGAAAGCCUGAUCCAGCAAUGCCGCGUGAGUGAUGAAGGCCUUAGGGUUGUAAAGCUCUUUUACCCGAGAUGAUAAUGACAGUAUCGGGAGAAUAAGCUCCGGCUAACUCCGUG
This 419-nucleotide ribosomal RNA is filed under the name uncultured bacterium. RNAcentral describes it as "bacterial SSU rRNA". It matches the Rfam family "Bacterial small subunit ribosomal RNA", at positions 46 to 507 of the family's 1533-position model. The record is from RNAcentral.